AGUGAACGCUGGCGGUAGGCCUAACACAUGCAAGUCGAACGGCAGCACAGUAAGAGCUUGCUCUUACGGGUGGCGAGUGGCGGACGGGUGAGGAAUACAUCGGAAUCUACUUUUUCGUGGGGGAUAACGUAGGGAAACUUACGCUAAUACCGCAUACCACCUACGGGUGAAAGCAGGGGAUCUUCGGACCUUUCGCGAUUGAAUGAGCCGAUGUCGGAUUAGCUUGUUGGCGGGGUAAAGGCCCACCAAGGCGACGAUCCGUAGCUGGUCUGAGAGGGUGAUCAGCCACACUGGAACUGAGACACGGUCCAGACUCCUACGGGAGGCAGCAGUGGGGAAUUUUGGACAAUGGGCGCAAGCCUGAUCCAGCCAUGCCGCGUGGGUGAAGAAGGUCUUCGGGUUGUAAAGCCCUUUUGUUGGGAAAGAAAAGCAGCAGGUUAAGACCCCGCUGUUCUGACGGUACCCAAAGAAUAAGCACCGGCUAACUUCGUG
RNAcentral lists this ribosomal RNA (492 nucleotides) under uncultured bacterium. Its description in RNAcentral is "partial 16S ribosomal RNA". It matches the Rfam family "Bacterial small subunit ribosomal RNA", at positions 29 to 507 of the family's 1533-position model. The record is from RNAcentral.